GUGGGGAAUAUUGGACAAUGGGCGAAAGCCUGAUCCAGCCAUGCCGCGUGAGUGACGAAGGUCUUCGGAUUGUAAAGCUCUUUUGGCGGGGACGAUAAUGACGGUACCCGCAGAAUAAGCCCCGGCUAACUUCGUGCCAGCAGCCGCGGUAAUACGAAGGGGGCUAGCGUUGUUCGGAAUUACUGGGCGUAAAGCGCACGUAGGCGGACUUAUAAGUCAGGGGUGAAAUCCCGGGGCUCAACCUCGGAACUGCCUUUGAUACUGUAAGUCUCGAGACCGGAAGAGGUGAGUGGAAUUCCUAGUGUAGAGGUGAAAUUCGUAGAUGUUAGGAAGAACACCAGUGGCGAAGGCGGCUCACUGGUCCGGUUCUGACGCUGAGGUGCGAAAGCGUGGGGAGCAAACAGGAUUAGAAACCCUGGUAGUCC
Molecule: ribosomal RNA, 425 nt
Filed under: uncultured bacterium
Lineage: Bacteria
Description: partial 16S ribosomal RNA
Rfam family: Bacterial small subunit ribosomal RNA
Source: RNAcentral